Small nucleolar RNA from Hevea brasiliensis (rubber tree), 85 nucleotides. RefSeq annotates it as small nucleolar RNA snoR114. The record is from RefSeq and is a predicted model, not a curated record. The transcript has a single exon. Lineage: Eukaryota; Viridiplantae; Streptophyta; Magnoliopsida; Malpighiales; Euphorbiaceae.
GAGCGGUGAUGACGACUGUGCUACUGUGACGGUUGGGUCUGUCACGAUCAUCUGAAUUCAGAUGAUAAAUCGCACGACUGAGCUC